This 674-nucleotide ribosomal RNA is filed under the name Lactiplantibacillus pentosus. RNAcentral's name for it is "bacterial SSU rRNA". It matches the Rfam family "Bacterial small subunit ribosomal RNA", at positions 64 to 704 of the family's 1533-position model. The record is from RNAcentral. Lineage: Bacteria; Bacillati; Bacillota; Bacilli; Lactobacillales; Lactobacillaceae.
CGACGACUCUGGUAUUGAUUGGUGCUUGCAUCAUGAUUUACAUUUGAGUGAGUGGCGAACUGGUGAGUAACACGUGGGAAACCUGCCCAGAAGCGGGGGAUAACACCUGGAAACAGAUGCUAAUACCGCAUAACAACUUGGACCGCAUGGUCCGAGUUUGAAAGAUGGCUUCGGCUAUCACUUUUGGAUGGUCCCGCGGCGUAUUAGCUAGAUGGUGGGGUAACGGCUCACCAUGGCAAUGAUACGUAGCCGACCUGAGAGGGUAAUCGGCCACAUUGGGACUGAGACACGGCCCAAACUCCUACGGGAGGCAGCAGUAGGGAAUCUUCCACAAUGGACGAAAGUCUGAUGGAGCAACGCCGCGUGAGUGAAGAAGGGUUUCGGCUCGUAAAACUCUGUUGUUAAAGAAGAACAUAUCUGAGAGUAACUGUUCAGGUAUUGACGGUAUUUAACCAGAAAGCCACGGCUAACUACGUGCCAGCAGCCGCGGUAAUACGUAGGUGGCAAGCGUUGUCCGGAUUUAUUGGGCGUAAAGCGAGCGCAGGCGGUUUUUUAAGUCUGAUGUGAAAGCCUUCGGCUCAACCGAAGAAGUGCAUCGGAAACUGGGAAACUUGAGUGCAGAAGAGGACAGUGGAACUCCAUGUGUAGCGGUGAAAUGCGUAGAUAUAUGGAAG